Molecule: ribosomal RNA, 538 nt
Filed under: uncultured bacterium
Lineage: Bacteria
Description: bacterial SSU rRNA
Rfam family: Bacterial small subunit ribosomal RNA
Source: RNAcentral
UGAGGAAUAUUGGUCAAUGGACGGAAGUCUGAACCAGCCAAGUAGCGUGCAGGAAGACGGCCCUAUGGGUUGUAAACUGCUUUUGUAUGGGGAUAAAGUCAAUCACGUGUGAUUGUUUGCAGGUACCAUACGAAUAAGGACCGGCUAAUUCCGUGCCAGCAGCCGCGGUAAUACGGAAGGUUCGGGCGUUAUCCGGAUUUAUUGGGUUUAAAGGGAGCGUAGGCCGGAGAUUAAGUGUGUCGUGAAAUGUAGACGCUCAACGUCUGACUUGCAGCGCAUACUGGUUUCCUUGAGUACGCACAACGUUGGCGGAAUUCGUCGUGUAGCGGUGAAAUGCUUAGAUAUGACGAAGAACUCCGAUUGCGAAGGCAGCUGACGGGAGCGCAACUGACGCUGAAGCUCGAAGGUGCGGGUAUCGAACAGGAUUAGAUACCCUGGUAGUCCGCACAGUAAACGAUGGAUGCCCGCUGUUGGUACCUAGUAUCAGCGGCUAAGCGAAAGCAUUAAGCAUCCCACCUGGGGAGUACGCCGGCNCGGU